Molecule: long non-coding RNA, 10914 nt
Organism: Gopherus flavomarginatus (Mexican gopher tortoise)
Lineage: Eukaryota; Metazoa; Chordata; Testudines; Testudinidae
Exons: 2
Source: RefSeq, a predicted model, not a curated record
CACGCUGCGCCUUGCCCCGGACAGUGUGGGGACAGCAGGGGAAGGUGCCUUUCAGUAUCGAGACAGGCCCCCGAUCCUGCGGAGACUCGGGCUAAACUUUAUCCCCACGGUGAGGGUCGCUCACUUGUCUUCGCCGGCUCAGGGCUCCCCUCUGCAGAGCCCGGGGGAGCCACGUUCCGUACAAUGUAAUUGCAGUUUGCAGUCAAGCUUUUAACACUGCAUCGUUUCGCCCGUUGGUGUAGUUCACUUUUACCUUUUUAUUGAAGGCGUGACACGCACCUUCGUUAAUCUGUUCCUGGCUCAGGCUGCCAACGCAUUUUUUCAAUAAAAAUCAGUAUCCUUGCUUGAGAUGAUCAUAAACGUUUACUGAAGUCAGCCGACACGAGUUACUUAAUUCUAAUCCCCUUUUACAAGAUUAGUAUGUUUGUAGUGUUUUUAAAAACUGCAUGCUUUCCCCCCAGUAAUUUUGUAUUACUGCUGAGGGCAUUCUACACCAAAAAAAUAAAAAUUCAGUGCACAAUAUUUUAAAAUUCUGCACAUUUUAUUUGUCAAAUGUCAAGGCUUCAGCAUGGCAGGGUGGGGAGCACUGUGCAGUGCUGCCCUGACAGGCCCAGGGAUUCAGUGAUGAGGCUGUACUCAACCCUGACACAGCACAAGGACCAGGCCUGCCUCAGAAACACCUCAGUUGACAGGUGCAUCAGGUGUGGGCAGGAAGGUUCAGCGAGGCAGGAUCCAAGUAUAAGUUGAGAGGGUUCUGUGUGGAGCAAUUGGUGCAGGCAGGUGAGUGGGGGCUCUGGGUGCAACGGUAAUGGGACUCUGCAGGGGGUCCAGGUGAAGGUGGUUGGGGGUCAGCAGAGGGGUCUCUGUGUGCAGGAGGAUAGGGCUUGUGGGGUAGGAAUCUGGGUGCAGGUGGCUUGGCAGGGUGGUCUGGAGGAGGGAGGCUUAUGGGGGGUUCUCAAUGCGGGGGGGGGGUGAGGCUUAGCAGGAGGGGCUAUGAGGGGGUCUGGAUGUCUGGAGAUUGAGUGGAUGGGGGAGCAGGGAGCUGUACAAGGAUCACUCCCCCUGCAUCUGAGGAGCCAUGGGUGCAGGAAGUGGCAGGGGGAGUUUGCUAAGCUUCCUGCAGCUGUCGGAGAAAUCUGGGUAUGGGUCUAACCCAGUUCCAGAUGUGUAGGGAAGAGGCAGUCCCAUCCUCCCCAGCCCAGCUGGGACUAGCAGCUGAGCCCACUGCAAGGUAGGAGCCAUCAGCUGGGUCUUUCCCAGUCCUGUCUUCUGCUCCACAGUGAUUUACUUCCUGGCAGGCUGCCUUGGGGGCACCUGAAAAAUACUGUUGUGGAGGGUCUCAUGACCUCUUAUUGCUUCCCCAUCAGAAAGUCAUUUUUCUGCAGGGAAGCAAAAAAAUCUGCAGGGGUCAUACAUUCUGCACAUGUGAAGUGGUGCAGAAUUCCCCCAGGAAUAUUGUUUAUAAUUGUGGCACCACCAUCCCCUAUAUCAUGUCUCCUAUCUGUAUCUAACAAUAAACUACAGGAAGGGCAUUGUACCUAUCAAGAUUUCUACUUUGUCCCCCUUAUAGCAAGAAUAAACUAGGAAAAUUUUAUUGACUUAACCUGCUUUUUAAUGAGAUAUAAAGUUGGCCUAUAAGUUUGGAUGCUUUUAAAGCUUUUUUCCCUUUUUAUUUUUUAACCUUAAACUUUAGCAGCGCCAAGCCUUAUCUUUUUUGUUUUUUCUGGAGGUUGUCUUUCAAGACUCAAACAUGGAUUGUUCUCUUAUUCUUUAAUAAAAGGAGAAUGGUUGUUGAAACUUUAACAAAACAUAUUCCAUAGAUAUUUGGUGAGGUAUUUGUUCAAAGCUAUUUUGUAUUUUAUUAAUAAACUCCUAACUCCUAAGAUCUAUCUACACAAGGAAAUUUUAAAAAAAAUCCUAUACUUGCUAAUACUGACAUUGCUAUUAUCAAUGAGCUGGUGAGCAACUUUUAGAAACAUUUGGCCUUUGAAGUUUGGCAUUUUGAGGCAGGGAGAAUUGGGCACAAGUCUAUUCUCUUGAGUUCCCUUUCAACUGGCAUGCCUAAGCUCCUUCUAGAAAAUUCUUAGUUGCUAAGUGUGCCAGAAACAAGAGUUUCUCUAUUAAUAGCUUCUGUACAAAUCACAAAUAUUAAUUUUCUACAAGAUGAAAUUUUCAAGAUGGAAAUAAAACAAAAGCUUAAAUGCUUUGAAUAAAAAUUUCUCUGUCAAUCAGUAUUCAUUUCUUUGGUCAAUGUGGUAAUCCUACUAAUUCUGUAGUUAGACGCAUAGUCUUGCAAGAGAAGCAGAUAUGAAUUUCAAGUGUAAAAAAAAAAAGGCAAAAGGAAUAAAAAUACUCCAUAGAUCUCUUCUGUACAACGUAAGCAACAAAGAGGUCACACUAUAUUUUCCCCAUUGCAGUUUACCUCUAUAAUCAUUAGGUGCUAAAUUAUCCCAGUGAUAAUCAUCUUAGAAAUAAGAUACAACAAGAUCUAAGAGAAAAAUUAGUCAUAUUUACAGCAAAUUCGUGCAGAGGAGUCAUUUCAUUGCCACAUUGCAGGCAAACGAAUCCUCAUUUGUGCCAAGAAUCAAAUAUGUCAUUGAGAAAGUUGUCAGAACAGGAGACAGUCACAACUGGGAACUGCUAGCAUAAGCCUGGUCUCCUGAAUUAUGUUUCCACUGUCACUGAGUUGCUGUGUAGAGAAAUUUGACUUCUGGUUCUUCCUAGUGUGGCAUACCUGUAACCCAUCUCAUGUCCCCACCCACACAAGUGUUUGAAGUGGUGCACAGGAGUUCCAAGCACUUUUUUGAACUAGCUUUUUUUGAGCAAUGUGAACCAUUGUAUGGUCCUCCACUCUACCAAUCUCUGCCUUUGCAAUGUAUGCAUGGACAGAGAUUGCUGCAGCCCCCUAAAAGCAAAUAUUCCUACUGCUGCCAUUCCACAGGCAAUUGGUCACUGCUUAGGCAGCCUGUCUGAUAUGCAUUCUGAACUCUGCUACAUAGGGAUCAAGUUUUCUGGAAGCCACUUUCCUAUUCAAAUAGCACUGUGCCCAACAUGGAGCUCAAUUGUGUGCUAUUUGAUUCUGUUACUAGUAUGUCUUGGAAGCUACCAAACAAGGGUGCUGCCAGCUGGCCUGAGGCUGACAUGGGUACUGGAGAUCAUAUGCAAAGGCAGCUGCACUUGUUCAUUCACAGUAUUUUAAUAUAUGACUGGCUGAACUGGUCAUCAGAUGGAGUACAUCUACAUUUGAGCUUGGAGGUGUGAUUCCCAGCUUUUGUAGAUGUAGCCAUGCUAACUACUUGAGCAAGUGCCUCAAAAUAUGUGUGUCUGUGGCAGCUGAGGCUAGCCACCCAGGGACUCAGGAUUGUAUUUGGGGCAGCUAGGCUGAGCCACUGCCUUUGCUGCUGCUGACAUACUAUUUUUGGGUGCUAGCUCAAGCAGAGAUAGUGGAAGGGUACAUCUGUGUGAGCUGGGAAGUGUAGAUGCACGCUUAGAGGGGAGAAGUAGUGCCAAGAGAAGACAAAGAGACUUGAAGUCCUGUAUAACAAAACAUGGAAGAAUAACAGUAGGUCCUUCUCAGAGCAGAAAACAUGUCUCUUGCAUAGUGCUCUGGAUCAAAGCCUGAAGGUUCACCCUUCCACACAAUUAAAAGGUGCUUCUGGAUAGCACAGAAAGUCCAUACAGUGCAGUCCAUCAGGACAAGGAGAUCUUGUAUACAUUUGCAGGAUAUGCUUGUGGGGAUCUAGAGUCAGCAGUUGAGCCAAUACAGGAGGAGGAAUUGGAAGGUGAGGGGUCAUCUAAAGAAAUUGGCUGAUUUUGCAAUCUUGAUUGUUGGAAAAAGAGGUUCCCAGGUUCUUAGAAAAGCCACUGUUAGGAUUAAUAAAAGGAAAGAGACAGAAUCACACAACAGUGAAAGUGUCUACCACUUCAGUUCCACCAGCAACCUUCUUCUCAGGCUUGCUAUGUCUCCAUCUCUGCUGCACAAGUUCCUCCAUAGGUCAACCCAGUUCAGUUCCCUAAUACUUCCCCUGAGUUGGCAUUCCCCUUGAAGCAUCCUGUGCUGGCAGGUACAUGAACCACUGCUCCUGGUUAAGAGAAAAAUGUUCAGCAUGACGUGCAGCGUGUGCUUCAGCUCUGUCAGAUGGGUGAACUCAAAAUAGUGGGGGAAAAUUACAAACUACAACGUAAAAAGGCAAAAAAUAAGAACUUUAUUGCAAAUCACGUUGGGCACUACAGCAAAAGCAUAGUGCAUUUUUCAUAUUACAAUGUAGCUAUAAUGGCAUAUAUGCCAGGCAAUGAACUUACCUAGCGUUCUGCUCAUAUUUAGAUGAAGUGGCAUUUAGCUUUGCCUUGUAAUUCAGUGCAUGGAAAACUGCUUUAGGCAUAUUUUGCUGGCAAAGUGAUGUAGAGAUAAUACAAACUAUGAAAGUUGGGGGAAAACACUGCUUAUCAUGACCAUUGCCUGACAUUAAAUACAUCACUAGAAAUCUAGUGGAGAUUCCUGUUAAUUUUAUUUCUUAUUUUUUCUGGCCCUUGGGAGUUAUAUACGAAAAAACUCAAAACAAAGUUCCAGCCCUGCAAUCCAAUUUUUGGGCAAUCCAUCAUAGUCUCAGCCUUUUCCCCUCAGUUCCUUGAAAAUUGCUUUUUCCCCUUGUUGCAACCCUCCACAAAAGGUUGGGGUUUUUUAUUUUGUUUGCCUGCAAUAGAUAGCCAUUGCAAGUGCCCCUGCUUCCUCUUUCCAUUCUGCAUUAAUAUAACAUCCCCAUCCUUACUCUUGGAAAUCAAGUGUGUGAAUUUAAUAUGUCCUUUCCAGCUCUAGUACAAAGAGAGAGACCCUUGUACAGUGUCAGUGUAAUCUGAAACUGAACUGAAAUUGUUACUUUUAUUGCAUUCAAGUGAUGGACUGGCUGUUGCUAUAGCAAUAUUAUGAACUCUUUCAUUUAAUUUCAUUGUACUCACCAAUAUGGCUGCCUCUAAGUAGGUGUGAUAACCAGUAAAUUGAAUCCACAGCAGUAUAUGCCCAACAACUGAGGUUCAGGAAAACAGCAGAGCAAGGGAAAUUUAUUUCUGGUCAUGCAUAGAGACUUGGAGCCCAGGUAAAAGUCUGAACAAAAUGAGACUCAUUAAAAGACAGGAAACCAGAAAUGAUGCUUACUAUUUCUGGAAUAAGGAGAUAAGAAUGAAUAAGGAGUUCCAGUGGAAUUUUUUCAAUGAAUAGACAGUGGCACAGGAAAAAAAACAAAACAGGUUGGCCUAAUGCAACAGGACAAUGUUACUUAGUUUGACUAUCCCCUACUGGGGCUCCCUUAGUCAUUCCCUAGACUUCCACUCCAUCCUACAGUCAUGGAAUGGAAAACAGGAAUCCCAAUUAGAUAGAUUUGAGAAAUUUAAUUUCUAUAUUGGUCUUUGUAGAGUGUACAGGUUAACUAAUUUCUAUUACAGCUGGUCUUCAAUCUUGUGUUUAAUAACAAGUUUCUGGAACUGUGCACUUAUCACAUCAUAGUGUUUAUGAUCAAGACACUAUCAUUUAACUACUCCGUAUGCUUCCUCAUCAAACUACUAGUAAAGCAUAAGAUAAAUGCAUAAAACCAUUACCACAAAGCACAUAAAGGCUCUUCAUAGCAGCAACUUCCAGUUGUUAUGCUAUCAAUAAAAUAAAAAUUUGCUCCUCCAUAAACUCCUUCACCAUGCAAAGCAAGAGAAAUAGACAACAAAAGUUUAUACAUAAUACAUAAAGAGGAAAUCCAGCAUCACUAGAAAGGAUUAAAUAAAACCAAGAAACAUUUACUUCACUGCUCCAGCCCCAUUUCUCACCAUCAUUUUGAAAGUUUGUGCACAACUCGGGCAAACACAAACUAUAGCACAUGCUAAUGUAAGUAACAGCUUUGGGUGCAACAGUUGUCAAGCUGUGCAUCAAUUGCUGGAAAUCACACUGCCUCCUUUGAUUUCAUGUUACAGCAACACCUUAUAAGAGCAAUCACUGCUUACGAGAAACAUUUACCCUAGGAAUACUUUCCCUCCCGUGAAUUGUCCGCUCGAUAACAGCAACAUAUCCACUGCAUAAGAGCACCAUUUUUGAUGUCACAUCUGAGGUAGAUCUUGGUGGGCCAUGUAGAGGUGUUGCCCCUACAAACUGAAUCUUCAGCAGAGCUCCAGGGCACACAGCUUUGUCCAUUUGCCCUGUCUAACAGAGCCUGCAUGGAGGCCAUGUGUAGGGGGGUAGUUUGGGAGAGGGUCUGGAAGAGGGGGCUUUUUCAGGGAGGAGGGAGGCUUGGGGUUAGAGGAGCAACAGAAAUGCAUCUGGACAGUUUCCUCCAUCCUUCCUCAAUAUCUGGCAUGGUGGUUGCUAUUUUGCAGUGGGGAGUAUUGGGGACCCACCUGUGCAGAGCUGUCCGCUCCAUCUCGGUUGUUGGCAGCAGGAUGUGGAUGUGCUGUUUUGCAGUGGGGGAAAUCAGGGGACUGCGGUCCUUAGGGCAUUUACCUGUCUGCUUCCCCUCUCCCAUCUUCACUGCGUUUCCCUCCCUCCAUUGCAGGCUGUGCGUGGUACCCUCCCCAACAAUCCAUCCCUUACCACUGUGGAGCAUGAAGCUGCCACCUGGAGCAUCAUCAGCCGGUUCCUGGCACUCACUCAACCAUUUUGCUGAAUGGGAGCUCCCCCACCCUACAAUUUCUUCCCACCACAACCUGGCUGACCCCCACUUUCCAAAACACACUUAACUCUUCAUAUGGUUUUGGUUAGACAACACUAUAACAGCAACAGGUAACAGGUGCUUAGGAGCAACAUAGCAAAAGAGCACCUAUGUGUUGCUACCAAGGAGUGUCUACUGUAUUCAGGCAAAUAUUAUAAUGGCUACAUUAGUCACUAAACUGUUACUGCAGGUUAACAGCCAUUUCAGUUUUGCUUUCAGUUGCACAAAAGCAUGCUCCACCAUUGACUUGUACCUGUUGAUUGGUUACAGUUAAAAGUGGCAUCUCUCUGUAUUUACGUAGUCUGUGGUUUCAUUAACAAUUGUAAAAGUGAACUUGCACAGUUUUACCCAGAAUUAGGGGGGAUGAAGAUCCCUUUGAUGUCAGUGUUGUUUGAUAGGCCUGGAGCUCCUCUCUAGUCAUUCUUGGGCUUAUUUUUUGAAAGUCUAGCAUCAUGUACUUUGCCAUAUGUACACAAGCAGGAACCUUUUGCAAUGACCAAUUAAGACUUGUGUCAGCAUUAGUGGUAGCCAGGCCCCAUGUAUUUAAUGGUUAUGGAAUUCACCCUUUACCACUAAAGUGUGCUCCAGGAUCUAGACCUUUGCUAAAAUACAUAUACCUUGUUUCUGUUAUGGUUGAAAAGAAAUGCUUGAAACAUGAACCAAGUGUAUGUGAAUGCACUAGAAUUUACAAAAAGCCUGAAACAAUACCUUUGAGAGGUGUAAACUGCCUAAUUUAUCUUAAUGGAUCAUAAAUUCUGAAACCUAAAGGUAAUACUCUGCAGCAUACUGAAAACAAAGUGUUGGGAUAAUAUAAAACAAACAGAAUGUAAUAAUUAAAUAUAGGUACAUCUGAUGGUACCAUAGAACCUCAGAGUUAUGAACCCCAGUUACCAACUGACUAGUCAACCACACUCCUCAUUUGGAACCAGAAGUACACUAUCAAGCAGCAGCAGAGACAAUAAAAUAAAAAAGCAAAUACAGUACAGUAUUGUGUUAAAUAUAAAUUACUAAAAAAAAAUAAAGGGAAAGCAGCUUGUAAAGUACUUCUACGAAUGAGGCACUUAUCCUGAUUGGGGCAUUUUUCCUUCUGCAUAGUAAAGUUUCAAAGCUGUUUUAAGUCAGUGUUCAGUGGUAAACUUUUGAAAGAACAACCACAACCUUUUGUUAAGUUACGAACACUUCAGAGUUACAAACAAUCUCCAUUCCCGAGGUGUUUGUAAUUGUGGUUCUACUGUAUUAAAUUUAAUAUAUAGUUCAAUUAAACCUGUAGUUUAAUUUCAGUCAAUAGAAGUAUGCUGUAUUUGAGACAGCUGUAGGAAAUGAGGACACUUGCUUUUUUUGUAAGCUAAAAAAAGUAGAAACUUGUCAACAUUAAUUAGGAAUAUAAAUGAGGUAGGGAAAUCUGAUAAAAUAAACUAUAUACUAUGAUAUUUAGCCAUUUUUGGCUCAGCUUUUUGCAUUUUUUAGGAAGUUGAGGACUGUGAAAGAUUGACUUCAGGAAAUAUUUCAAAAGUUGUCUAGUUUGUCUCCAUUUGAAAUAGUUGUUUAUGUACAUGGGUUGAAGCAAUUCUGGAGUUCUCAGUCUUUCCUUUAUGCAGAUAACAUUUUUAUUGUGAGAUUGCUUCAUAAUUAACCUCCCCUUCCCUCAGUGAUCAUGCUGAACACUUACCUGGCCAAAUGCAACAGCAUAACAUCACAGUGCUAACUAUAACAAUUUGUUAAAGGAAACAAAAUUUAUAUAAUGUUAGCUAUCUUUUAAUGGGAUGUUUUGUCUUUUGUGAAAAAAAAUCUAAUUUUACUUUUGUAUGUUAUCAUCGCUUUCUGAAACUUGUCCUCUUCCUUUCUUUGCACCUAGUUCCCUGCCAGUUUUCCUGGGACAUGCUUCCCAGCCAGCUGAUCCUUUCCUCCACCUACUCUCCUGAUACACUGGCACAUAGGCUCUCCUUUCUUCCCUAGAUAUUCACUCCUACUCUUUUCCUCUUAUGUAUCGACAAUCUUUACUAAAGGAGCUAGGCUAGCUCUUCCUCAUAUCCAGCUGCUUUUCUUGGCAUCCAGACUCUUUUUAUCUAUCUAGUAGGAACACCCAAAGGCCCCAAUCAGGGUAAGUACCACAUAGGGAGAAGUACUUUACAAGCACAAGACAUUAUCCCUGUAAGCUUUUCACAAGUGUAAUUUCAGGUGACACAAAUGUGUGUCUCUAACACAACACAAGGGAAGAUGAGAGUAACAGUAGUGUGUGGAUUCUGGACAGAGAUGGAAGCACCUGAAAAGAGAGCCAACUCCAGAUUACCUGCCAGGUCUUUGCUCUCCAGAGCACCAGUUCCUGGACCACAGUUUAAGAACAGCUUGUUUAAUUAAUAAAUUGGUCUAAUUUUAUAAGACCAAUUAAUGUGAAGAUACACAAAUAAUUCAAAAAGUUUUUGGUCUGAAUAAUUACAAAAUUAAAACAGAAAUGGACUAAUAACAUUUUAAAAUAAAUGAAAACAGUAUGAUGGUACAAGUAGUGCAGGAGAACUGGACAGCGAAUUUAACUAUAAAGAGAAAAUGAAACUGACAGUUUAGUUUCACUAUCCAAGCUCAGGGAAGUGCAUUAAAUCAAAUAAACAUUAAAAAUUGUAAUGGUUCUUCAUCUUCUACAAUAAUAUAAGGCAGUAUUAAGAGUUAGAUUUUUUUUUUUUUUUUUAAUGUGGACAAAGUUCCCCUAUAGUUGGCAAUACCUCUUGGGGAUUAUGUGAACACAAAGCCAAGUAGCUUGAAAUCCCUACAUGACACUUCAUUCUUGUUACUAAAUUAUUAAAUGUAUAACUUGUUUUAUUAAAUGCAUUGCUUAUAGCUUAGUUAUGCUACCACCCCUACAGGUUAUUAUAAAUGAAUUUCUUUUUUUAGACUGUUUGCUUACGUUCUGAAUUGCUCUUGAUCCAACCAAUGAAACUGGAUGUCUGUUUCUCUUUGUUACUUGUCAAUUUCAAUUUAUGGCAAUUCUACAGUAUUUGACUGGAAAUUUUACUAAUGUUUGUUUUUAAAAGAGUGCACAUGGGAUAUUUCAUUGCAUGGAGGCAUUUUUCUUUAUAAAUAUUCUCAAAGGAUUCUUAACUCAGUUGAAGACAGUCCCGAACUCCCAAAGCUGAAGGGGUUCUCAAGGGAUGUGUACUCCUCUCUCCCCCUGUUCAGCAGAUGGAUUCCAACAAUCAGUGCCAUCAGCUCUCAGGGUUUUUGUCUGCUUUCUCUGCUGAGAAUGGAGAAAUUCCCUGACUGCUCCUGUUAAACAUUGAGUCAGUCAAGUUUUUGUUGUUUUUCUGUUACCAUAUAGAAGUAUAGGACUAAAAAGGACCUCCUCCUGAUAUAUAGUCCAGUCCCCUACUAUUGCAGGAAACCCCCAUCAUAUCAUCUGAUCCAUAAAUUUAUCAAGCUCUAUUUUAAAACUAGUUAGGUUUGUUCCCUCUCUCCACUGGAAGGCUGUUUCAGAAGCUCAGUCCUUUGAUGGUUAGACACCUAAUUUCCAGCCUAAAUUUAUACUCACUUGUGCCAGCACUAUCCUUUAGCUUACAUAGCUCUUCUCCCUCCCUGCCAUUUACACUCCAAUGUAUUUAUAGACAGCAAUCAUAUCCCCUCUCGGCAUUGAUUAAUGUCUUAUUGUUGGGGAGUGGGAUCGAUUGUACCAAAAGGAUCUUCUUCCACAUCUUUCCUGCUCAAACUUCAUUGAUUGUGACAGGACUGUUACAGAGAUAAAUCUGCUACUUCCUUAUUUUUCCCCUUUUAUUUUUCCCCUUUUAUUCUUCCCUACAAUAUUAAGUUUACUGUUGAGUGGUGAUACCAUUUCAGGGGUAUCAGCCAAUCAUAACGUACUUUCCAUUCUUCCCCAUACUCUUGCUCCCCGAAUGUAAUCAUGUUGGACAUAAUGCCUUAAAAGUAAUCUACAUCUAGACAUAAAAGUAUGUAUGUGCUGAAUGCCCUCAAUAGCAGGACAGCAUCUUCAGCGGAUAAGAUAGUAAACUAUUUUUUCCUUUUUAUGUUCAACAGAGCAAGGUUUUCACCCAAAGAUUUUGGUGAGCGUAAGGCAACAUGUUUCGCAUACACCUUUACAAAUGGGGGAAGUUUGGCAAUGUACAGAUUUUUUUUGUUGCACUUUGCACUAAUUGUUUUAAUUGCUGUGGCAUCUUUAUAUGCUUCAAUGGUGUUACUAUUAUCAAUUUUUAAAAAAAAUUAAAACAUAAGCCAUUUUAAUGAG